CGGGACGGGUGAGGAAUACAUCGGAAUCUACUCUGUCGUGGGGGAUAACGUAGGGAAACUUACGCUAAUACCGCAUACGACCUACGGGUGAAAGCAGGGGAUCUUCGGACCUUGCGCGAUUGAAUGAGCCGAUGUCGGAUUAGCUAGUUGGCGGGAUAAAGGCCCACCAAGGCGACGAUCCGUAGCUGGUCUGAGAGGAUGAUCAGCCACACUGGAACUGAGACACGGUCCAG
Molecule: ribosomal RNA, 233 nt
Filed under: uncultured bacterium
Lineage: Bacteria
Description: partial 16S ribosomal RNA
Rfam family: Bacterial small subunit ribosomal RNA
Source: RNAcentral